GAUGAACGCUGGCGGCGUGCCUAAUACAUGCAAGUCGAGCGAACAGACGAGGAGCUUGCUCCUCUGACGUUAGCGGCGGACGGGUGAGUAACACGUGGAUAACCUACCUAUAAGACUGGGAUAACUUCAGGAAACCGGAGCUAAUACCGGAUAACAUGUUGAACCGCAUGGUUCAACAGUGAAAGACGGUCUUGCUGUCACUUAUAGAUGGAUCCGCGCCGCAUUAGCUAGUUGGUAAGGUAACGGCUUGCCAAGGCAACGAUGCGUAGCCGACCUGAGAGGGUGAUCGGCCACACUGGAACUGAGACACGGUCCAGACUCCUACGGGAGGCAGCAGUAGGGAAUCUUCCGCAAUGGGCGAAAGCCUGACGGAGCAACGCCGCGUGAGUGAAGAAGGUCUUCGGAUCGUAAAACUCUGUUAUUAGGGAAGAACAAAUGUGUAAGUAACUAUGCACGUCCUGACGGUACCUAAUCAGAAAGCCACGGCUAACUACGUG
This 497-nucleotide ribosomal RNA is filed under the name uncultured bacterium. RNAcentral's name for it is "partial 16S ribosomal RNA". It matches the Rfam family "Bacterial small subunit ribosomal RNA", at positions 28 to 507 of the family's 1533-position model. The record is from RNAcentral.